AAAUGAAACAAUCACUGUUCACAGCCUCAUCCUACAGAGCAUUCAGAAACCACUUCCCCUAGAGAUCUUUAAAAAUAGACCUGAAAACAGGCCUCUGCCGCCUUGAGGGCUUUGGGGUGGGUCCUGCCUCGAAGCCGAGGAGGCUCUGACGGAGCCGGGGGCUUCUCUAUCCUGGACUGCAGUCUCGGAACUCUGCCUUCAAGAUUCCAUCAGAUCCUGAGGGCAGCUGGAGUCACUGAAUCCUGAAUGACUUGAAAACAAAGGCUUCUGUGAUCAAUAUUUUAUGUCAAACAUCCUGUGAGAAUGAAGGGCCCUUCUAUGCUUCACCAUUUUAACCUCUCAUUUGGAAAAGCAAAAAGGCCUGAGAGAAGCUGCGUUCGCAAAAUCUCUCCUGGAUGACUUGUUCAGAAGCCAAUUCAGUAAAUUCAAACUGUUCCAGAGUCCCCUUUUGAAAACCACAGAUGCCGUGGACCCACUAAGGUUGAGCUGUGCUGCGGUGAAGUGUUUUGUGUUCUUUGUGUAAUGAAACUCCCCAGAUAAAGGACUUGGAAUUGAGCUUUUGAACUACAGAUGGUCGUGUUCCAGUGAGGGUCCUGGCUACUUAGUUCCCAGAAUCCUUGACCCUGGGCCUGUGAAUUCCUCAUUCUGAGAGGGUCUGGAUGAUGUUAGUGGAUACUACGCUGUUUCCAAGUAGAUAGCUGGAGCCUCCAGCUGAUAGACCCAAGGGUCAAAUGGUCUGGAAGUGGAGUGCGUGAGGGAGAGGACUGGC
This 769-nucleotide long non-coding RNA is filed under the name Pan paniscus (pygmy chimpanzee). RNAcentral describes it as "lncRNA (ENSPPAG00000044911.1)". Lineage: Eukaryota; Metazoa; Chordata; Mammalia; Primates; Hominidae. The record is from RNAcentral.